Long non-coding RNA from Papaver somniferum (opium poppy), 556 nucleotides. RefSeq lists it as uncharacterized. The record is from RefSeq and is a predicted model, not a curated record. NCBI's taxonomy places the organism in Eukaryota, Viridiplantae, Streptophyta, Magnoliopsida, Ranunculales, Papaveraceae. The transcript has 2 exons.
UACCCCUCCUUUUCUAGGAAGGAACUCAUUUAAUCGUUAGUACCAAUUUUACCCCUUUAUAUACAGUAAAAUGAUGUUGGUUUCUUCCGAAUGAAUAUCAGAUCUCUUUUUUAUCUCUCUCUUUCCUCCUCCCUCAAAAACAACCACCACCACCAUAUUUAUUGUCGUUGUCAUCACAUCACAAUUUGAGCACCACUUUUACUCCACUACCACCUCUAUUUCCAUCGAUCUAACUACCAGUUCCAACACCACCUCAAAAUUAAAGUGAAAAAAUACCUUCGUUGAAGAACAGAAGCAAAGAGAUCUUUGCCGAAACUUCAUCAGCAGCAGAAAAUGAAGGUUUAUUUCGGUGUUUACAAUGUCGAGGUUAUUGAUUCAUCAACGUGAUUAUUGCUUGUUUCAGGUUUUCAUUUUGAUUUUUUGUUCGAACUUUGGUGUAUACUCUAGAUGAUAAGUACUAUAUUUUGUUGGUUUUUCUGUUAUUUCGUGUUCAAAUUUGACUUAGAUGUGUUUAUAUUCAUAUUUAUUAUUUUGUUGAUUUAUCAUUAACAAGAAA